GGGUAGAGAUAACAUAUGAGUAAACCGCAUUCCAUUUGGGAGCUAUUUCCGUCUACCAUUGUUAUUAGGUAAAAUCAAAUAAGAUGUAUUAGCCCUAUGAGUAGGGACAUAUCAACCUACGCUGGCUAUGUAGUUUUGGAACAUAAGGAUUGCUUCUAAGGAUUACACCCUCCACUGAAUAAUAAGUGAGUCCCCAUCCUAGGGUUCACUCAGUGCUGAAUCCUAC
RNAcentral lists this long non-coding RNA (226 nucleotides) under Capsicum annuum. Its description in RNAcentral is "long non-coding RNA (CANN_LNC006797)". The record is from RNAcentral. Lineage: Eukaryota; Viridiplantae; Streptophyta; Magnoliopsida; Solanales; Solanaceae.